RNAcentral lists this unclassified non-coding RNA (151 nucleotides) under uncultured Fusarium. Its description in RNAcentral is "sequence contains ITS2". The record is from RNAcentral. Lineage: Eukaryota; Fungi; Ascomycota; Sordariomycetes; Hypocreales; Nectriaceae.
CAACCCUCAAGCUCAGCUUGGUGUUGGGAUUCGUGGAGCAAUCCGCGGUCCCCAAAUUGAUUGGCGGUCACGUCGAGCUUCCAUAGCGUAGUAAUUUACACCUCGUUACUGGUAAUCGUCGCGGCCACGCCGUUAAACCCCAACUUCUGAA